Non-coding RNA from Drosophila melanogaster (fruit fly), 2652 nucleotides. Lineage: Eukaryota; Metazoa; Arthropoda; Insecta; Diptera; Drosophilidae. The record is from Ensembl.
ACUAGCUAUAAAUUAGAAAAUCUUAAUAAAUUACGAUAUUUUGAAUAUAUUUAAUCGUUGAAUUAACAAAUAAUUUUCUUGGUUAUAAAUAUUAAACUAUGCAAAAACAGUUUGAAAUAUACAUCUCAUUUGAAUAUUAUGUAUGCAUACCAUCAUCGCACCAGCGCAUUCCUGAGGAUGAGUAUCGUGGAUCUGAUGUUUGAGGGAGGUUCUCGAUUACAGAUAGUUUUUGUUUGAGUUCUGUUCCAUAAAUCUAGUUCUGGUGGUCGCAAAUGUUAUGACCAUGCGCACCCACCCUAUCUAGGAUGCCCGAAGAGUUUUUGCGGUCAUCAGCCAUUAUCAACACGACGGUGCAGGCGACUAGGACAGCUCCAUCUCCCCUACAGUGAACACUCACUCAAACAUUUCGAUAAUAUAUAUGAAUUUUCAGCGGCAAGGUUACGGCAGACUGGCUCUACUAAAUAUGUAUUUUCCUGACUUCCAAUGCAAAUUACCCGGGGCCCUUAAUUUCUGCACCCCGGUUAUUCCAGGAUAUAUAAUUAAAGUUGCCUUGGCUACGACUUGCUGGCUCGUCGGUAUGGCUGCGAUUGAGCUAUGAUCUGCAUUUAAUUAUGGUCCCCGCCAUAUUCCCAAUACUCUCCCGAAUUGGGUCAUGGGACAUAAACCAGGUCAUUUAAGAGUAAUCCCGGAGCGAACCGGGAUAAUCAAAAUGGAAAUGGAUUCCCAAAAGAGGACGCCACCCAAAAUCAUCGCCCUAUCGCAAUACCUAUCGAUAAGGCCCUAUCAUCCAGCUGCAACACCAACCAAAGAUUUCGAGAAGCCUUAUACGGAGUUUUAGCAGAACGAUGAAAUAACGGCGCCGUACGUGGGUCCCACGCUUUUCUUACCUUUUUCAAGGCUUCCCGUUCCUGCGCCGACAGGCUCCAGGAUUCCGGCUCCUCCUUCGUUUCCAUCUCCUUUUGCUUGGUAGUGCUUCAUUUCUUUGACAUGGAUUUCUCCUGCUGUCUUUACCGGCUUCGUCACGACCUCUGGUGCCAGCCCGAACGCUCGCCAGAAAUCGAUUCCAAAGUCGGCCGUUUGUUUGAGACGCCGUUCUCACCACCGAGAAGUAAGACUGAUCCGGAGCACCUAGUGCUUCCACGAGCUCCCUGCAGUUCUUGCCGAGCACGCUGACACUGGUUCCCGUGUCCCACAAUCCUGUUAGAUGACUACCCAGGAUCGUCUCGUCUGCAAACGUUCUAGGAUCUUCAGACUCGAUGCGCUUUACGGCGGCGACCACCUCGCGUCGCUACUGAUCUUGAUGCGGUCCUUUGCCUUUUGCACCUUCCUCGAAACUAGCCGCACUCCGCUCAUUUGGACUCGUGCCUGGGCAAAUUCCUCCCGCUCUCGGGCACUUCGGUGACACCGUGUCCGAUCGUCCACAGCGAUAGCAAAACAGCCGCCUCUCCACCGCUCUGCAAUCCAGUCGGGAGCCCGGAUCCUAGGAACAGUUCCAGCAUCCUGCUCUCGUUGCGGCUCGGAGUCUGGUGCGGAUAUCUUCUAACUCGAGGGCUUAAGGUCGUGUUCAUCGUGGAUCUGCACUUCAUUCACCCGCAUUUUCCCUUGCUGUCCAUACGAAGCGAGACCUCGGCGACUGAAACUCCGUUCUACCUCUACGCAUUCCUCACGAACCUCAACGAUGAACACCUCCAGCGCGUAUACGUAUCGCGCUAAUCAAUCUCUAGGUUUUUUUAACCACACUUACCAUACGGCGCAUACUUUUGUAAGCUGGUGGAUGUGCUAGAAUAUUUCACAAGAAUAAUAAUUCCAUCAGUUCGGGGAAAUCAUUGAUUUAACCUGAGAAGAUGUAACUGACCAUUGCCGGUCCGACCGCAUUUGUCCUGUGCAUUUUCCCAAAACUCAAACUUUCCGUCAUUCACUAACCGUUCGUCAACUGAACUAGCUAUUACUGUUGAUGAAAGCUGCCAGUUAAGGCCAUCGGUUGACCUAGAGCUCCUGUUAGUUUCGUCUUAUCUUUUGCACUUUCUCUUACAUCUCACGGAGAGAGUGCUGUUCAUGCACGACUCAAAAAAACCUACGACGAAAAAAAAAAAAUCAAGUGCGCGGCUAAAACCAGAACCUGGAGAACAUUUUCAGCUUUUCGUGCUACAAAGCCUCCUGUCCUUCCUCUCACCAUAUGCCGCCUUUGGGAUACUCCGUCACCACUUCUGAUGCCAUUGCAGUUUAGCCUGCAAGCCACCGUCUGAAAUGACGGAUUUCCCACGGCCGAAAAUGGCGAGACGCCGUCGCCUCGACAAUUUUUUUGUUUUUAAAUUGGGCGCCAUUAUGUUACGUUGUUUUCUUUGGUUGAAAGGUAUGUAACAGAAAGAAGGAAGCGUCUCCGUAUGAACGUCGAGAUAUCAGGAACUAUAAAAGCUAGAAGGUUGAGAUUCUAGGGACAAAGACGCAGCGCAAGACGCCGACAAACCGCAACGAACUGCUACGCCCACACUUUUGAAAAAUGAGUUGAUAUUUUUUCAGAUUUUUAUUGGUCUUGCAAAUUUCUAUAGAUUUAUUGCCAUUUUUUGUCACGCCCACUCUAACGCCCUAAAACCGCUCUAAAACUAGGAAAAACUGUUUUGAAUAAUAAAAAAAGAGAGAAUGAUAAAGUUG